UAUUCUUCCGCAAUGGUUUCAACCCAUUCAACCUCUUUACUUUUUUCAUGAUCACUGGGUUGUUUGCCUAUACUAAAGACGUUCAGUUCCAAAGUCAUAUUGCCAAAAGAAAGCUUCAUGACACCAUUCCUACAAUUGAUCAAUGCAUUAGAAGUUGCAAGGAAUGGACGUCCUAAGAUGACUGGAAUCUGAGAUGGUGAAUUGGAAGCCGGAUGUGUGUCCAGUACGAUAAAGUCGACAGAAAAAUAGAACUUGUCUACUUGGACCAACACAUCUUCGAUAAUCCCUCUAGGGACCUUCACUGACCGGUCAGCUAAUUGUAAGGUCACAGUUGUUGGCUUCAACUCACCCAAACCGAGUUGCUCAUAUACCGUAUAUGGCAACAAGUUCACACUCUGUUGCCCAGAUAGACAACCCAAGAGGGGGGGUGAAUUGGGUUUUAAAAUAAUUUUGCAAUUAAAACGUUGUGGAUGACUAAUUAAUGCUUUACCAAGAUGAUUAAUUAAUUGCUAUGUGCUGUGAAUGAAAUGAGAGUAAAAGAAAGAGACAAACAAUCACAAAUACAAGGCUUUUAUAGUGGUUCGGAGCUAAUCCUUGCUCAUACGUCCACUCCCCAAGUCUCACUUGGGAAUUCACUAUAACCCCUUGGAUUACAGCCGGUUGUUUUACAAGCUCACAACCAAA
This 684-nucleotide long non-coding RNA is filed under the name Phoenix dactylifera (date palm). RNAcentral describes it as "long non-coding RNA (PDAC_LNC012437)". Lineage: Eukaryota; Viridiplantae; Streptophyta; Magnoliopsida; Arecales; Arecaceae. The record is from RNAcentral.